CUCCUAGUAAGUGCUAGGUAGUCUCUGCCCUGUGAGUUAAUUAAACGGCCGCAGUAUUUUGACUGUGCAAAGGUAGCAUAAUCACUUGUCUCCUAAUUAGAGACUGGAAUGAAAGAGGUAACGAAAUAAAAGCUUUUGAAUUUAUGUAUUAAUUUGACAUAAGGGUCAAAAGGCCCUUUCAUAUCAAAGGGACGAUAAGACCCUAUAAAACUUUAUUUUUUAAAACUCCUUAAAAGAAGGUGGGGAAUAAAAAAAUUAAACUGGGGCGGUUAUUAUAAAAACUAUUUAAAAUAAAAUAUAAAAAAUAAAAUUUUAGAGCUAUUUUUUUAAAUUUGAAUAAGUUACUUUAGGGAUAACAGCAUAAUCCCCCCGGAGAGUACAAAUCGACGGGGGAGCUUAUGACCUCGAUGUUGAAUUGGAAUUACUUUUAUGGGCAGUUUUAUAAAUAGUUAGUCUGUUCGACUGUU
RNAcentral lists this ribosomal RNA (467 nucleotides) under Baicalasellus korotnewii. Its description in RNAcentral is "Baicalasellus korotnevi partial 16S ribosomal RNA". It matches the Rfam family "Bacterial large subunit ribosomal RNA", at positions 1837 to 2589 of the family's 2925-position model. The record is from RNAcentral. Lineage: Eukaryota; Metazoa; Arthropoda; Malacostraca; Isopoda; Asellidae.